AGUGAACGCUGGCGGUAGGCCUAACACAUGCAAGUCGAACGGCAGCACAGUAAGAGCUUGCUCUUACGGGUGGUGAGUGGCGGACGGGUGAGGAAUACAUCGGAAUCUACUUUUUCGUGGGGGAUAACGUAGGGAAACUUACGCUAAUACCGCAUACGACCUACGGGUGAAAGCAGGGGAUCUUCGGACCUUGCGCGAUUGAAUGAGCCGAUGUCGGAUUAGCUAGUUGGCGGGGUAAAGGCCCACCAAGGCGACGAUCCGUAGCUGGUCUGAGAGGAUGAUCAGCCACACUGGAACUGAGACACGGUCCAGACUCCUACGGGAGGCAGCAGUGGGGAAUAUUAGACAAUGGGCGCAAGCCUGAUCCAGCCAUACCGCGUGGGUGAAGAAGGCCUUCGGGUUGUAAAGCCCUUUUGUUGGGAAAGAAAAGCAGCAGGUUAAUACCCCGCUGUUCUGACGGUACCCAAAGAAUAAGCACCGGCUAACUUCGUG
RNAcentral lists this ribosomal RNA (492 nucleotides) under uncultured bacterium. Its description in RNAcentral is "partial 16S ribosomal RNA". It matches the Rfam family "Bacterial small subunit ribosomal RNA", at positions 29 to 507 of the family's 1533-position model. The record is from RNAcentral.